This 82-nucleotide transfer RNA is filed under the name Streptomyces flaveolus. RNAcentral describes it as "tRNA-Arg". The record is from RNAcentral. Lineage: Bacteria; Bacillati; Actinomycetota; Actinomycetes; Kitasatosporales; Streptomycetaceae.
UGCCGGUCGGGGCGGCCCUUCCGGCCUACGGUGCCGGUGCCGGUGCCGGUGCCGGUGCCGGUGCCGGUGCCGGUGCCGGUGG